UACGUAGGGUGCAAGCGUUGUCCGGAAUUAUUGGGCGUAAAGAGCUUGUAGGCGGUUUGUCGCGUCUGCUGUGAAAUUUCGGGGCUCAACCCCGAACUUGCAGUGGGUACGGGCAGACUAGAGUGUGGUAGGGGAGACUGGAAUUCCUGGUGUAGCGGUGAAAUGCGCAGAUAUCAGGAGGAACACCGAUGGCGAAGGCAGGUCUCGUGGGCCACUACUGACGCUGAGAAGCGAAAGCAUGGGGAGCGAACAGG
This 254-nucleotide ribosomal RNA is filed under the name uncultured bacterium. Its description in RNAcentral is "partial 16S ribosomal RNA". It matches the Rfam family "Bacterial small subunit ribosomal RNA", at positions 524 to 776 of the family's 1533-position model. The record is from RNAcentral.